UAACUGCCCUGCUUCAGGUGAACCAGG
RNAcentral lists this non-coding RNA (27 nucleotides) under Mus musculus (house mouse). The record is from RNAcentral. Lineage: Eukaryota; Metazoa; Chordata; Mammalia; Rodentia; Muridae.